RNAcentral lists this unclassified non-coding RNA (400 nucleotides) under uncultured fungus. Its description in RNAcentral is "partial contains 5.8S ribosomal RNA, internal transcribed spacer 2, and large subunit ribosomal RNA". The record is from RNAcentral. Lineage: Eukaryota; Fungi.
AACGCACAUUGCGCUCUCUGGUAUUCCGGAGAGCAUGCUUGUUUGAGUAUCAGUAAAAAACAGCCUCAACUCGGUGUAAGGAACCGAGUUGGAUUUGAGCCGAUCCCAACGAACAAGGCCCGAGUUUGGUUUUUUCCUUCUCGCGAGGCCCUGCUGGCGGGUGGCUUGAAAAGCAAGAGCGGUUGGAUUUUUGAUCUUUUUUCGCUUUAAGCAUUCACUCAUUUAGUCCGCGACAAACGGAUUAUUACUUGAUGCUUCAGUGAAAUGUGCAAGGUCUAUUAAUUCCAUUGCCGACCUAAUGUAGGGAAUUGUCGAGGAAGAAGGGGUGGGAUUUUCCCCUCCUCCUUUGGUCUCGUCCUUACUCGAUCUCAAAUCAAGCAAGACUACCCGCUGAACUUAA